AUCAUGAGUCCGCAUGUUCACAUGAUUAAAGGUAUUCCGGUAGACGAUGGGGAUGCGUUCCAUUAGAUAGUAGGCGGGGUAACGGCCCACCUAGUCUUCGAUGGAUAGGGGUUCUGAGAGGAAGGUCCCCCACAUUGGAACUGAGACACGGUCCAAACUCCUACGGGAGGCAGCAGUGAGGAAUAUUGGUCAAUGGGCGAGAGCCUGUACCAGCCAAGUAGCGUGAAGGAUGACUGCCCUAUGGGUUGUAAACUUCUUUUAUAUAAGAAUAAAGUGCAGUAUGUAUACUGUUUUGUAUGUAUUAUAUGAAUAAGGAUCGGCUAACUCCGUGCCAGCAGCCGCGGUAAUACGGAGGAUCCGAGCGUUAUCCGGAUUUAUUGGGUUUAAAGGGAGCGUAGGUGGACUGGUAAGUCAGUUGUGAAAGUUUGCGGCUCAACCGUAAAAUUGCAGUUGAUACUGUCAGUCUUGAGUACAGUAGAGGUGGGCGGAAUUCGUGGUGUAGCGGUGAAAUGCUUAGAUAUCACGAAGAACUCCGAUUGCGAAGGCAGCUCACUGGACUGCAACUGACACUGAUGCUCGAAAGUGUGGGUAUCAAACAGGAUUAGAUACCCUGGUAGUCCACAC
RNAcentral lists this ribosomal RNA (624 nucleotides) under uncultured bacterium. Its description in RNAcentral is "bacterial SSU rRNA". It matches the Rfam family "Bacterial small subunit ribosomal RNA", at positions 173 to 800 of the family's 1533-position model. The record is from RNAcentral.